AUCUCAUGGUAAGGACAUUUCAUGAGCUUCUCCUUGAAUCUUCUCCAAGCUUCAUACCACAGUUCUUCAUGGAAUUGACAAAAUUUAAUAAUUUCAUCCCUCAAUU
Molecule: non-coding RNA, 106 nt
Organism: Capsicum annuum
Lineage: Eukaryota; Viridiplantae; Streptophyta; Magnoliopsida; Solanales; Solanaceae
Source: Rfam